GAUGAACGCUGGCGGCGUGCUUAACACAUGCAAGUCGAACGGAAAGGCUCCUGCUUGCUGGGGUCCUCGAGUGGCGAACGGGUGAGUAACACGUGGGUGAUCUGCCCUGCACUUCGGGAUAAGCCUGGGAAACUGGGUCUAAUACCGGAUAGGACCACAUUUUGGAUGGUGUGGUGGAAAGUUUUUCGGUGUGGGAUGAGCUCGCGGCCUAUCAGCUUGUUGGUGGGGUAAUGGCCUACCAAGGCGUCGACGGGUAGCCGGCCUGAGAGGGUGUACGGCCACAUUGGUACUGAGAUACGGACCAGACUCCUACGGGAGGCAGCAGUGGGGAAUAUUGCACAAUGGGCGCAAGCCUGAUGCAGCGACGCCGCGUGGGGGAUGACGGCCUUCGGGUUGUAAACUCCUUUCGCUAGGGACGAAGCGCUAGUGACGGUACCUGGAGAAGAAGCACCGGCUAACUACGUG
This 465-nucleotide ribosomal RNA is filed under the name uncultured bacterium. RNAcentral's name for it is "partial 16S ribosomal RNA". It matches the Rfam family "Bacterial small subunit ribosomal RNA", at positions 28 to 507 of the family's 1533-position model. The record is from RNAcentral.